This 478-nucleotide ribosomal RNA is filed under the name uncultured bacterium. RNAcentral describes it as "partial 16S ribosomal RNA". It matches the Rfam family "Bacterial small subunit ribosomal RNA", at positions 28 to 523 of the family's 1533-position model. The record is from RNAcentral.
GACGAACGCUGGCGGCGUGCUUAACACAUGCAAGUCGAGCGGUAAGGCCCUUCGGGGUACACGAGUGGCGAACGGGUGAGUAACACGUGGGUGAUCUGCCCUGCACUUCGGGAUAAGCCUGGGAAACUGGGUCUAAUACCGGAUAGGACCACUGCCUGCAUGGGUGGUGGUGGAAAGCUUUUGCGGUGUGGGAUGGGCCCGCGGCCUAUCCGCUUGUUGGUGGGGUGAUGGCCUACCAAGGCGACGACGGGUAGCCGGCCUGAGAGGGUGACCGGCCACACUGGGACUGAGAUACGGCCCAGACUCCUACGGGAGGCAGCAGUGGGGAAUAUUGCACAAUGGGCGCAAGCCUGAUGCAGCGACGCCGCGUGAGGGAUGACGGCCUUCGGGUUGUAAACCUCUUUCAGCACCGACGAAGCGCAAGUGACGGUAGGUGCAGAAGAAGGACCGGCCAACUACGUGCCAGCAGCCGCGGUAA